UGGGGAAUAUUGCACAAUGGAGGGAACUCUGAUGCAGCGACGCCGCGUGAACGAAGAAGGCUUUCGAGUCGUAAAGUUCUUUUAUAUGGGAAGAUAAUGACGGUACCAUAAGAAAAAGCCCCGGCUAACUACGCGCCAGCAGCCGCGGUAAUACGUAGGGGGCUAGCGUUGUCCGGAAUCACCGGGGGGAAAGGGUUCGCAGGCGGAAAUGCAAGUCAGGUGUAAAAGGCAGUAGCUUAACUACUGUAAGCAUUUGAAACUGCAUAUCUUGAGAAGAGUAGAGGUAAGUGGAAUUUUUAGUGUAGCGGUGAAAUGCGUAGAUAUUAAAAAGAAAACCGGUGGCGAAGGCGGCUUACUGGGCUCAUUCUGACGCUGAGGAACGAAAGCGUGGGUAGCAAACAGG
Molecule: ribosomal RNA, 403 nt
Filed under: bacterium
Lineage: Bacteria
Description: partial 16S ribosomal RNA
Rfam family: Bacterial small subunit ribosomal RNA
Source: RNAcentral